RNAcentral lists this long non-coding RNA (732 nucleotides) under Homo sapiens (human). RNAcentral describes it as "HSALNT0127165". The record is from RNAcentral. Lineage: Eukaryota; Metazoa; Chordata; Mammalia; Primates; Hominidae.
GUCAGAGGAUAGGAGGAUGAGCAGUCUCCAUCUCAGUUCAGCACGGAGGUGUAUGCAGUUCUUCCAUCCCUCAGGCUCCUGUGGGGUGGCCUCUUUCCUAACACUCUGGUGUUCACAGGGCUCUGGUAACGUUCCUGCUUCCCUGGCCCCUUCAGGUGUAGAGAGGCUAAUGCCUUCUCACUGCUGCUAGUCACCAAGUACCUCCACAGCCUCAGUGGGUUCCCUUCAUUCUUGUGCAUUCUUUGUAGUUCUUCCCAUCAAGAAGUAGAAUCUACUUACCCUGUUCCUACCCCCACGCCCCCGAAUCUGGACUGGCUUUAUAAGUUGUUUUGACUAAUAGAAAAGCGGAAGAACUGAUGUUGCAAGACCUCAAGAACCUUUCAUCCUCUCUUCUCACUCUUGUGGUGCCCUGAAACAACCAAGCUGUAAAGCAGCCCAGGGUAACAGACCACGUAGAGAGAGUGCCAGCAUCUCAGCCACACCUGGCCCCUAACAGGCCAUCAGCCUAACGCAGCUGCUUGAGAAACCCAGGUGAGACCUGUCGAAGAACCAGCCAGGCAACCCACAGAAAAAUAGUGCACAACACGGGCCAAUGAACACAGAAUUCUGGUGGACCUACUAUGCCUGGGAUUUCAGUGAGACUCAAAGUGAGUGCAAGGUAAGUGUGUUACUAACGUGAUCGAGUUAGCAGGAGUGCCGAUAGCCCCAAGAAGCCAAGCUUUCUGUUAGAAC